UAGGAUGUGGUGUAAUGGGAGCAUAAAGGGUUUUAAGCUCUUUGGUAUGGGUUCAAGUCUUGUUGUCCUAG
This 71-nucleotide transfer RNA is filed under the name Sarcophilus harrisii (Tasmanian devil). It matches the Rfam family "tRNA". Rfam says of the family: Transfer RNA (tRNA) molecules are approximately 80 nucleotides in length. Their secondary structure includes four short double-helical elements and three loops (D, anti-codon, and T loops). Further hydrogen bonds mediate the characteristic L-shaped molecular structure. tRNAs have two regions of fundamental functional importance: the anti-codon, which is responsible for specific mRNA codon recognition, and the 3' end, to which the tRNAs corresponding amino acid is attached (by aminoacyl-tRNA synthetases). tRNAs cope with the degeneracy of the genetic code in two manners: having more than one tRNA (with a specific anti-codon) for a particular amino acid; and 'wobble' base-pairing, i.e. permitting non-standard base-pairing at the 3rd anti-codon position. The record is from Rfam by way of RNAcentral. Lineage: Eukaryota; Metazoa; Chordata; Mammalia; Dasyuromorphia; Dasyuridae.